UCCGGUUUGUCACCGGCAGUCUCCCUAGAGUGCCCUUGCGUAGCAACUAGGGACAAGGGUUGCGCUCGUUGCGGGACUUAACCCAACAUCUCACGACACGAGCUGACGACAGCCAUGCACCACCUGUGCACGAGCCCCGAAGGGCUGCCGUGUUUCCACGACAUUCCCGUGCAUGUCAAGCCUAGGUAAGGUGGGGAUGACGUCGCACGCAAUAACA
RNAcentral lists this unclassified non-coding RNA (217 nucleotides) under uncultured bacterium. Its description in RNAcentral is "contains 16S-23S intergenic spacer region". The record is from RNAcentral.